ACGUACACUCCUGCGGGAGGCAGCAGUGGGGAAUAUUGGACAAUGGGCGCAAGCCUGAUCCAGCCAUGCCGCGUGAGUGAUGAAGGCCCUAGGGUUGUAAAGCUCUUUCACCGGAGAAGAUAAUGACGGUAUCCGGAGAAGAAGCCCCGGCUAACUUCGUGCCAGCAGCCGCGGUAAUACGAAGGGGGCUAGCGUUGUUCGGAAUUACUGGGCGUAAAGCGCACGUAGGCGGAUCGAUCAGUCAGGGGUGAAAUCCCAGGGCUCAACCCUGGAACUGCCUUUGAUACUGUCGAUCUGGAGUAUGGAAGAGGUGAGUGGAAUUCCGAGUGUAGAGGUGAAAUUCGUAGAUAUUCGGAGGAACACCAGUGGCGAAGGCGGCUCACUGGUCCAUUACUGACGCUGAGGUGCGAAAGCGUGGGGAGCAAACAGGAUUAGAUACCCCAGUAGUCCCAU
RNAcentral lists this ribosomal RNA (453 nucleotides) under uncultured organism. RNAcentral's name for it is "partial 16S ribosomal RNA". It matches the Rfam family "Bacterial small subunit ribosomal RNA", at positions 329 to 798 of the family's 1533-position model. The record is from RNAcentral.